RNAcentral lists this ribosomal RNA (302 nucleotides) under uncultured bacterium. RNAcentral's name for it is "partial 16S ribosomal RNA". It matches the Rfam family "Bacterial small subunit ribosomal RNA", at positions 508 to 807 of the family's 1533-position model. The record is from RNAcentral.
GCAGCAGCCGCGGGAAUACGUAGGGUGCGAGCGUUAAUCGGAAUUACUGGGCGUAAAGCGUGCGCAGGCGGUUGUGUAAGACAGGUGUGAAAUCCCCGGGCUUAACCUGGGAACUGCGCUUGUGACUGCACAGCUAGAGUAUGGCAGAGGGGGGUGGAAUUCCACGUGUAGCAGUGAAAUGCGUAGAGAUGUGGAGGAACACCGAUGGCGAAGGCAGCCCCCUGGGCCAAUACUGACGCUGAGGUGCGAAAGCGUGGGGAGCGAACGGGAUUAGAUACCCCCGUAGUCCCUGUCUCUUAUAC